ACUUGAGAAUAUUUUAUUCUUUUCUUUUACCCAAUUUGCUUCUUUUCAGCAUUGCCAGUAUUAUAGUGGAGUACAUUGAGUGUGACAGCGGAGCGUGCUUCAAGGAUCCACUGAGUUACAGCUGAUUAAAUUCCCUUAAUAAAGAAAUACGUAUAAAAUGUUAAAUACAUAAAGGAAUAUGUAUAUUCGAAGUCAUUUUCCAAUUGUUUCGAUGACUGUAACUGUGAGUUACACAGUUCUCUAUGAAACGUGAGACAAGUAACGAGAUACAUUUAAAUUAAUUUACUGAACACAGUUUUUAAAAUGAACUCUUUUUUAAUACUUGUAUUCGUAGUGUCGACAAUAACAACCGUCGUCAGUCAGGAUGAGAUGACAGUGAUUACUCCUAACGGACGUAACCCUUAUAAGACGUGGUCGCUGUUAGAUACCACUGGCAAGUGAUUCUUAAUAUGACGACAAUGUACAAUUAUUUGUCGACACUUUACAUAAAGGUAUAUUUUCAUUAGAAUUGAUCAUGUCUUUUCUCUUUCGGUCCUCGGCUUAACAAAAUGUUAGAUAUUCUAUUUCAAUAUAAAUAAAAUGAAUGUUCCUGUUUUGUG
Molecule: long non-coding RNA, 599 nt
Organism: Danaus plexippus (monarch butterfly)
Lineage: Eukaryota; Metazoa; Arthropoda; Insecta; Lepidoptera; Nymphalidae
Exons: 4
Source: RefSeq, a predicted model, not a curated record